Long non-coding RNA from Macaca fascicularis (crab-eating macaque), 1744 nucleotides. NCBI's taxonomy places the organism in Eukaryota, Metazoa, Chordata, Mammalia, Primates, Cercopithecidae. The record is from Ensembl.
UUUUUUUUUUUUUUUUUUUUUGAGACGGAGUCUCACUCUGUCACCCAGUGUGGAGUGCAGUGGCGCAAUCUCGGCUCACUGCAAGCUCUGCCUUCCAGGUUCAUGCCAUUCUCCUGCCUCAGCCUCCCGAGUAGCUGGGACUACAGGUGCCCGCCACCACACCUGGCUAAUUGGGUUUUUUUUGUAUUUUUUAGUAGAGACAGGGUUUCACCGUGUUAGCCAGUAAGGUCUCGAUCUCCCGACCUUGUGAUCUGCCCACCUCAGCCUCCCAAAGUGCUGGGAUUACAGGCGUGAGCCACCGCGCCCGGCCUCUAUAUUCUUAACCUCGUAGAUUAGUUUUGUUUAAGCCGUCGACAUAUUUCAUCAUCUCUAAUAUAUAGAAAUUAGUGUGUUUAUGUGGCUCAUUAAUCUUGGCUUCUUCCUCUAAGAAGGUGGAAGUUACUGGAAAUGAUGUUACACAAAGCGGGACCCCUCAGAGUCUGCAGAUGAGCCGAAGCAGGAGGAUGAUUAUCACUGAUUUCAUCUAGACGCCUCAAUGACAAUCGGGAAGAGGGUGAAUUGCAGUGACUAAUGUCCUGCGGUUUGCGGCGAUGCUGUUCCGCCGUUUACCAUUAGAGCGUAGCAGUGUUUGCCACUUUCCUAGCAUGUGACCAUUACCACAUGGAAAAAUAAAUACAGAUGUUUCAAUAUGAAUAGACAAUCGAUUAAUUCAUUAAAAUUGCACAUGUUAAAGAGUUUGUAAAUAACCCUGGGAGUGGGACAGGGUUGGGAGUGAGCACGUGUCUUCCCCCGUGAUUUCUCUGCUGGAGGAAUGCCCAGGUCUCCGGGCCUUGCGGAAUGUGCCUCUAUCCCUUGGGCCACGCAGCGGCACUCGCGGUGUGAUACGGUAAGAACAGCAUCUUCACCACAGCUCUUUGGGGACAGAGGCAGGGGACGGGGGGAACUUCCAGUGGGAAUACUGGUGUUACCAGAAACGUCACCAAAGCCCUCGGCCAGAGGCUGAGCUGCUCUGUUUGCUGCAGGGCUCUGGUUUUGCAGAGGAAGAGGGCUGUUGUCACUGGGAACCAAGAUGACGGGUUCCAACAGCAGAGGGGAACCAAGUACACCACGAUGGCCCUUGUGCUAGUUCCCUGGGGCUGCCCUAACAGGCAGCCACCGACUGGGGGACUUAAAAUACCAGUUGCUGAUUCUGCCAGUUCUGGGAGCCUGAGAUACAGGCGUCGGCAGGCUCGGUUCCCUCUGAGGGCGUGAGGGAGAAUGCAGCUCCCCCUCUGUUGCCACUCUCCUGGUGACGGUGGCAGUCCACGCCUUGGCCUAUGAGUGCACCGCUCCGUCCUCUGCCUGGCAGCAGCCUUCUCCUGGUGCCUCUCCACAUCAUUCCCUAUGCAUGUGGCGGUCUCUGCAUCCAAAUUUCCCUUUGAUAACAGCACCAGGAGAUCGACUUAGGGCUCACCCCAUGACCACAUCUUAGUUUUAUUACCCUUAUAAAGACCCUGUUUCCAAAUAAGGUCACAUGCAGAGGCACCUGGGGUUGGAGCUCCAGCAUAUCUUUUCUGAGGAACACAGUUUGACCUGUAACCAUUUUCCCACAGGCAGCCUCUCCUCUACUCAGAUGUGAACAAACACAUCAAUAAAAGCAGGCACGUCCCCCGGGAACUCACCAGGCUUGGCCUGGCUCUGAUCCCAGGAGAACUCAGUGUAACCCAAGGCCGGCCUUUCUGUGUGGCUUUGUCACCAUUCGGAA